This 291-nucleotide unclassified non-coding RNA is filed under the name Bombus terrestris (buff-tailed bumblebee). RNAcentral's name for it is "misc RNA ENSBTSG00005031256.1". Lineage: Eukaryota; Metazoa; Arthropoda; Insecta; Hymenoptera; Apidae. The record is from RNAcentral.
UGAUUCUUUGUUUAAUUUUUUUUUUUUUUUUUUUUUUUUUUUUUUGUUUUUUUUUUUUUUUUUUUUUUUUUUAUUACUUUUCAGCGAGCGUUGGAACUUUUAGCAGCAGAGUUACAUUUGUACAACGAUGAAUUCCCUUUUCACGCGCUGCGCGUUUCAUCGCACAAUGAUCACAGUAGGAUGUUGUUCGUUUGGGCAUAGUAGUUUCGCUUGAAAACGCUUCCACGCAAACAAGAGCGUAUGAACUUUGUUGCGCUUCGAUUUAAGGCCAUGAAACGAACAAUUUGCAAG